ACGGAAGGCAGCAGUGGGGAAUAUUGGACAAUGGGGGAAACCCUGAUCCAGCGACGCCGCGUGAGUGAAGAAGUAUUUCGGUAUGUAAAGCUCUAUCAGCAGGGAAGAUAAUGACGGUACCUGACUAAGAAGCACCGGCUAAAUACGUGCCAGCAGCCGCGGUAAUACGUAUGGUGCAAGCGUUAUCCGGAUUUACUGGGUGUAAAGGGUGCGUAGGUGGCAAGGCAAGUCUGAAGUGAAAGCCUGGGGCUCAACCCCGGAACUGCUUUGGAAACUGUUUAGCUAGAGUACAGGAGAGGAAAGCGGAAUUCCUAGUGUAGCGGUGAAAUGCGUAGAUAUUAGGAGGAACACCAGUGGCGAAGGCGGCUUUCUGGACUGUAACUGACACUGAGGCACGAAAGCGUGGGGAGCAAACAGGAUUAGAUACCCUGGUA
This 434-nucleotide ribosomal RNA is filed under the name uncultured Coprococcus sp. Its description in RNAcentral is "partial 16S ribosomal RNA". It matches the Rfam family "Bacterial small subunit ribosomal RNA", at positions 341 to 792 of the family's 1533-position model. The record is from RNAcentral. Lineage: Bacteria; Bacillati; Bacillota; Clostridia; Lachnospirales; Lachnospiraceae.